This 637-nucleotide ribosomal RNA is filed under the name uncultured bacterium. Its description in RNAcentral is "bacterial SSU rRNA". The stretch from base 1 to 542 matches the Rfam family "Bacterial small subunit ribosomal RNA", at positions 338 to 873 of the family's 1533-position model. The record is from RNAcentral.
CCUACGGGAGGCAGCAGUGGGGAAUAUUGGACAAUGGGCGCAAGCCUGAUCCAGCAAUGCCGCGUGUGUGAAGAAGGCCUUCGGGUUGUAAAGCACUUUAGGCAGGGAAGAAAAAAUCGGCGAUAACAUCGCCGAUCUUGACGGUACCUGAGGAAUAAGCACCGGCUAACUCUGUGCCAGCAGCCGCGGUAAUACAGAGGGUGCAAGCGUUAAUCGGAUUUACUGGGCGUAAAGCGUGUGUAGGUGGUUAGAAAAGUCGAUUGUGAAAUCCCUGGGCUCAACCCGGGAACUGCUUUCGAGACUGUUUGACUAGAAUUCGGUAGAGGGAGGCGGAACUCCAGGUGUAGCGGUGAAAUGCGUAGAUAUCUGGAAGAACACCAAUGGCGAAGGCAACCUCCUGGGCCUGAAUUGACACUGAGACACGAAAGCGUGGGGAUCAAACAGGAUUAGAUACCCUGGUAGUCCACGCCGUAAACGAUGAGAACUUGACGUCGGUUUGCUCUGCGAAUCGGUGUCGUAGCUAACGCGAUAAGUUCUCCGCCUGGGGGAGGACGGCCGCGAGUAGUAAACGUUAAAGUAGAAGUUAGUACGGCGUGAGACGUAGACCGAACGGACGACCGACCGAGGGGAGGGAGGG